This 253-nucleotide ribosomal RNA is filed under the name uncultured bacterium. Its description in RNAcentral is "partial 16S ribosomal RNA". It matches the Rfam family "Bacterial small subunit ribosomal RNA", at positions 524 to 776 of the family's 1533-position model. The record is from RNAcentral.
UACGAAGGGUGCAAGCGUUGCUCGGAAUUAUUGGGCGUAAAGGGUAGGUAGGUGGUUACGUAUGUCUGGGGUGAAAUCCCUGAGCUCAACUCAGGAAGUGCCUUGGAAACGGCGUAACUAGAAUACUGGAGAGGUCUGUAGAAUUCCUGGUGUAGCGGUGAAAUGCGUAGAGAUCAGGAGGAAUACCAGAGGCGAAGGCGGCAGACUGGACAGUUAUUGACACUAAACUACGAAAGCGUGGGGAGCAAACAGG